UCAUGCCUUUAUACAGUUUAUUUC
RNAcentral lists this non-coding RNA (24 nucleotides) under Rattus norvegicus (Norway rat). The record is from RNAcentral. Lineage: Eukaryota; Metazoa; Chordata; Mammalia; Rodentia; Muridae.